CUACGGGCUGCUCCAGUCGAGAGGCUUCGUCAAUGGGGGCAACCCUGAACGAGCGACGCCGCGUGAGCGAUGAAGGUCGUAAGAUCGUAAAGCUCUGUUAGUGGGGAAGAAACCCCGGGGUGCUAAUACCACCACGGCUUGACGUUACCCACAAAGAAAGCUCCGGCUAACUCCGUGCCAGCAGCCGCGGUAACACGGGGGGAGCAAACGUUGUUCGGAAUCACUGGGCGUAAAGGGCGCGUAGGCGGCCUGGUCAGUGAAACGUGAAAGCCCCUGGCUCAACCAGGGAAUGUCGUUUCAUACUGCCAGGCUUGAGGACGGGAGAGGAGAGGGGAAUUCCCGGUGUAGCGGUGAGAUGCACUGAUAUCGGGAGGAACACCAGUGGCGAAGGCGCCUCUCUGGCCCGUUCCUGACGCUCAGGCGCGAAAGCAGGGGGAGCAAACAGGAUUAGAUACCCGAGUAGUC
RNAcentral lists this ribosomal RNA (465 nucleotides) under uncultured bacterium. Its description in RNAcentral is "partial 16S ribosomal RNA". It matches the Rfam family "Bacterial small subunit ribosomal RNA", at positions 339 to 795 of the family's 1533-position model. The record is from RNAcentral.